CUUCAGGUUCCUCUUGUUGACAAUGAGGAUAACAGGUACACCGGCUGUUCAGGGUUGCGUGGUCAUGCAAUGAUGUCCCUGUAAAUCACAGGGCACAAAGCUGGAUGCAUGUUAAGGGCUCCAUCAGAUUGGCCACUUACGUUUGCUCUAAGACGUACCUUGUAAGUUUCCAUUGUGAUCGAAGUCACUAGGCUCCACCAGAAACGCAGGGCUGGUACACAGGCAUUCAUAUUUAAAAACCAUUUCCCCCAGGAGAUUCUACAUGCCUGAUCCGAUUCAACUCCCUCAUUUACAGGUCCCAAGCAGCUCUGUACAGGGAAGAUGCACAUCUGCCUUCUGUGAGGCUGAGGGGCACGAAAAGAGUCUGGCUGCUGAAAUCUCAAGAAUGCUGGGUCUCUCCUAAGGCAUCUGGGAGCCAUGUCCUUGGGCAGAUGACUGUAGACGUCAGCAGCCUCCACACCAGCAAGGAGAAAACCGGGGAACUCAGUAUCCCAGACUCCAUCUCCUCUCCUCUCCAUUCUCUUGCCUCUGUUUUGGUAGGCCAAACAUUAUUGAUUGCAGAUGAUCCCAUUCUCAGAGGCCAACCUGCAGAGAGGGACAACUGAAGCAGGAUGAAAAAGCCUGGCAAGUUGGUUAAGGUGAUCAUCAUGGCAAAAGCCAUGGUCGUCUUCUCUCCACACUUUACCCCUGAGCCCAAUUUCUGCCCUCUCCUAAAGUCAUGUUGAAAUUUAACUGCAAUUAUCAGAGUAUUAAGAGGUAGGGACCUCAGAGGUGUUUCUGUCAGGAG
This 787-nucleotide long non-coding RNA is filed under the name Mus spicilegus (steppe mouse). Its description in RNAcentral is "lncRNA (ENSMSIG00000007477.1)". The record is from RNAcentral. Lineage: Eukaryota; Metazoa; Chordata; Mammalia; Rodentia; Muridae.